UACAGAGGGUGCGAGCGUUAAUCGGAAUUACUGGGCGUAAAGCGCGCGUAGGUGGUUUUGUAAGUCGGGUGUGAAAGCCCCAGGCUUAACCUGGGAACUGCAUUCGAGACUGCAUGACUAGAGUAUGGGAGAGGGCAGUGGAAUUUCCGGUGUAGCGGUGAAAUGCGUAGAUAUCGGAAGGAACAUCAGUGGCGAAAGCGGCUUCCUGGACCAGCACCGACGUUCAGGCACGAAAGCGUGGGGAGCAAACAGG
RNAcentral lists this ribosomal RNA (253 nucleotides) under uncultured bacterium. RNAcentral describes it as "partial 16S ribosomal RNA". It matches the Rfam family "Bacterial small subunit ribosomal RNA", at positions 524 to 776 of the family's 1533-position model. The record is from RNAcentral.